UGGGGAAUAUUGCACAAUGGGCGAAAGCCUGAUGCAGCAACGCCGCGUGAGUGAUGAAGGCCUUCGGGUUGUAAAGCUCUGUCUUUUGGGACGAUAAUGACGGUACCAAAGGAGGAAGCCACGGCUAACUACGUGCCAGCAGCCGCGGUAAUACGUAGGUGGCAAGCGUUGUCCGGAUUUACUGGGCGUAAAAGGAUGCGUAGGCGGAUUUUUAAGUGAGAUGUGAAAUACCCGGGCUUAACUUGGGUGCUGCAUUUCAAACUGGGAAUCUAGAGUGCGGGAGAGGAGAAUGGAAUUCCUAGUGUAGCGGUGAAAAUGCGUAGAGAUUAGGAAGAACACCAGUGGCGAAAGGCGAUUCUCUGGACCGUAACUGACGCUGAGGCAUGAAAAGCGUGGGUAGCAAAACAGGAUUAGAUACCCUGGUAGUCCACGCCGUAAAACGAUGAGUACUAGGUGUAGGAGGUAUCGACCCCUUCUGUGCCGCAGUU
RNAcentral lists this ribosomal RNA (488 nucleotides) under uncultured bacterium. RNAcentral describes it as "partial 16S ribosomal RNA". It matches the Rfam family "Bacterial small subunit ribosomal RNA", at positions 355 to 853 of the family's 1533-position model. The record is from RNAcentral.